This 433-nucleotide ribosomal RNA is filed under the name uncultured bacterium. RNAcentral describes it as "partial 16S ribosomal RNA". It matches the Rfam family "Bacterial small subunit ribosomal RNA", at positions 29 to 507 of the family's 1533-position model. The record is from RNAcentral.
AACGAACGCUGGCGGCAUGCCUAACACAUGCAAGUCGAACGAGACCUUCGGGUCUAGUGGCGCACGGGUGCGUAACGCGUGGGAACCUGCCCUCAGGUUCGGAAUAACUCCCCGAAAGGGGUGCUAAUACCGGAUAAUGUCUUCUGACCAAAGAUUUAUCGACCUUGGAUGUGCCCGCGUUGGAUUAGCUAGUUGGUAGGGUAAAAGCUUACCAAGGCGAGGAUGCAUAGCUGGGUUGAGAGGCUGGUCAGCAACACCGGGAGUAGGACACGGCCCAGAAUCCUACGGGAGGCAGCAGUGGGGAAUAGUGGAAAAUGGGCGAAAGCAUGAUGCAGCAAUGCCGCGUGAGUGAUGAAGUCCUUAAGGUUGUAAAGCGCUUUUACCCGGGAUGAUCAUGACGGUACCGGGAGAAUAAGCUCCGGCUAACUACGUG